AUCCGCACUGGCAGGGAAGAGACCAAGGUCACCAAGUGGUUUUCCCAUGGAAAGGUUCAUCCAUUGUGCUCCAGUCUACCGCCCACUGUGACUUCCCCAAUGAUGGGAAACUUGACUGUGUAACUUGUGGUAGGGGGGACUGCACUUGCAGUUCCCUU
Molecule: small nuclear RNA, 158 nt
Filed under: Sciurus vulgaris (Eurasian red squirrel)
Lineage: Eukaryota; Metazoa; Chordata; Mammalia; Rodentia; Sciuridae
Description: U1 spliceosomal RNA (ENSSVLG00005000278.1)
Rfam family: U1 spliceosomal RNA
About the family: U1 is a small nuclear RNA (snRNA) component of the spliceosome (involved in pre-mRNA splicing). Its 5' end forms complementary base pairs with the 5' splice junction, thus defining the 5' donor site of an intron.
Source: RNAcentral